AGAGUUUGAUCCUGGCUCAGAUUGAACGCUGGCGGCAGGCCUAACACAUGCAAGUCGAACGGUAACAGGAAGCAGCUUGCUGCUUCGCUGACGAGUGGCGGACGGGUGAGUAAUGUCUGGGAAACUGCCUGAUGGAGGGGGAUAACUACUGGAAACGGUAGCUAAUACCGCAUAACGUCGCAAGACCAAAGAGGGGGACCUUCGGGCCUCUUGCCAUCGGAUGUGCCCAGAUGGGAUUAGCUUGUUGGUGGGGUAACGGCUCACCAAGGCGACGAUCCCUAGCUGGUCUGAGAGGAUGACCAGCCACACUGGAACUGAGACACGGUCCAGACUCCUACGGGAGGCAGCAGUGGGGAAUAUUGCACAAUGGGCGCAAGCCUGAUGCAGCCAUGCCGCGUGUAUGAAGAAGGCCUUCGGGUUGUAAAGUACUUUCAGCGGGGAGGAAGGGAGUAAAGUUAAUACCUUUGCUCAUUGACGUUACCCGCAGAAGAAGCACCGGCUAACUCCGUGCCAGCAGCCGCGGUAAUACGGAGGGUGCAAGCGUUAAUCGGAAUUACUGGGCGUAAAGCGCACGCAGGCGGUUUGUUAAGUCAGAUGUGAAAUCCCCGGGCUCAACCUGGGAACUGCAUCUGAUACUGGCAAGCUUGAGUCUCGUAGAGGGGGGUAGAAUUCCAGGUGUAGCGGUGAAAUGCGUAGAGAUCUGGAGGAAUACCGGUGGCGAAGGCGGCCCCCUGGACGAAGACUGACGCUCAGGUGCGAAAGCGUGGGGAGCAAACAAAAUUAGAUACCCUGGUAGUCCACGCCGUAAAC
This 810-nucleotide ribosomal RNA is filed under the name uncultured bacterium. RNAcentral describes it as "bacterial SSU rRNA". It matches the Rfam family "Bacterial small subunit ribosomal RNA", at positions 8 to 807 of the family's 1533-position model. The record is from RNAcentral.